CGACUUCCAGAUGCUAAAAAAGGUGUUAAUCUUUAAUUAAUCUCACUUUUUUGAUUCAUCAAGCCAUAUGCAUUCUAAAAUUUUUGGAUUGUAGCUUUUAAAUUAAUUCUGUGAAUGAUAAUUUUCGCACUUCUGAGUUAUAUCUUUUUAUGUUAAUGCUGCGAAUGAUAAAUUUUGAACUUCACUAAUAAUGUGGCAUAGAAUGAUGGGGAAGGUUUCCCUGUAUUGCAGGUUUGGAAGAUUAUAUGUUGGUUAAUGAUGCAAAUAUUGGCUUAUAAGCUAACACCAGCAAGAAACUAAAAUUAGAUUUCUAGUAUGAUUAUAUGUUGCAUCCUAAGUUUCCAAUGCUUAAUUACAAUGAGAUGCUACAAUUUCAACACCCUUAAUUUGCAAUUGUAUAGUGAAGUGCUUGUUUGGAUGACAACUUGUGAGAAAGAGAGUGUGUAAUAGUUGUUAAAUUGAGAAUCGAAAUCUUCAUUUAGUGAAUGGAGAAUCGAGUCGAAUCAUAGGGUUUGAUAAAAAUUUUCAAAAUUAAUUAAAAAUGAUAUGUGUUCUUAAAAAAUAAGUAAAAGAAAAUAUAUCACAAUUAUAUAUUUUGAUAAAUAUAGAAUUAUCGUUUAGCUAAUGAGAAGGAUGCUUAAAAUAGCACUAUACAUUCUUAUUAUGUUAUGCGAUUAUAUGUUAUAAAUUAUGAACUGUUGAGUUGUUGACAAUGAUUACCAUUAUGCAUGUGUUGAAACUCCUAUUUAAAUUUGAUCAAAUAAUUAAAUAAUAAAAAAGAAUAGUGUGUUAAAUUAAAAGGUUAGAAUAUAUUAAUAUAAAAUGUCAUAAUUUGACAACUAUAAUUAGAGAAGUAUAUUAACAAAAAGGAAAAAGAAAAGAGAAAGAAAACGAAAGAAGGAGAGGAAAAAGAAUGGCUAGUGGAAUAAAAAAUAGCUAAGGAUGGUUUUAUUUGCACUUUUCACUAUAAAAAAUGAAGUGGAAUAUUAAGGUUGCGUUUGACAUUAUUGUUUUUUUGUUUUUGGUAAAACUUGUUCGUCCAAAUUGUUUCAUUUAUUUUUGUGAUCACUUUUAUAGAAUCAUUUCAAAAAUGAAAUAGGAAAAAGUAAAACAUCAAAAUCAUGGUUUUUCUUUGAAGUUUUUAGUUUCUGCCUUUCAAUCAAAUUCUUCACUCUUCCCAAAUAUUUCUCUUUGUGAUUACAACUUCAUUACCCAAUCACACUCUGUCACUUUCAUCUUCCCAAAUAUUUCUCUGUGUGAUUCAUGGUUUCAAAAAACGGCCGUUAUUUAUAGGUUUUUU
Molecule: unclassified non-coding RNA, 1300 nt
Filed under: Hevea brasiliensis (rubber tree)
Lineage: Eukaryota; Viridiplantae; Streptophyta; Magnoliopsida; Malpighiales; Euphorbiaceae
Source: RNAcentral